This 253-nucleotide ribosomal RNA is filed under the name uncultured bacterium. Its description in RNAcentral is "partial 16S ribosomal RNA". It matches the Rfam family "Bacterial small subunit ribosomal RNA", at positions 524 to 776 of the family's 1533-position model. The record is from RNAcentral.
UACGUAGGGGGCAAGCGUUGUCCGGAAUCAUUGGGCGUAGAGAGCGUGUAGGCGGCUCGGUAAGUCCGCUGUGAAAGUCCAGGGCUCAACCCUGGAAUGCCGGUGGAAACUGUCGAGCUAGAGUCCGGAAGAGGCGAGUGGAAUUCCUGGUGUAGCGGUGAAAUGCGCAGAUAUCAGGAGGAACACCAAUGGCGAAGGCAGCUCGCUGGGACGGUACUGACGCUGAGACGCGAAAGCGUGGGGAGCAAACAGG